GCUAAUACUUGACGGUUUUCACCCCUUGUCGAGUCCAUUCCCUCUGGGAGUGUAAUCGAUGAGGGCGGGGGAUGCUUCACGUAUCCUCUACAUAUUACCACUUUUUUUGAAUGAGGGUGGAAUAUAUGCCAAGAGAAUUGUAGAAAUCGAGAGAUUUUCACAAGUCAUCAUUAAGAAUAUCUGACCUAUCAACUGGUUGUUGGUAAGGUAGUGGCUUACCAAGGUGAUAACGGGUAACGAGGAAUAAGGGUUCGACAUCGGAGAGGGAGCUUUAGAGAUGGCUACCACUUCUAAGGAAGGCAGCAGGCGCGAAAAUUACCCAAUCUUAACAAAUGAAGGAGGUAGUGACGACAAUUAACGCUAUCCUCGUCUUUUGGCGAGGAUCGUCGGAAUGAUUUCGAUUUAAAAUAUCGAAAGAAAGCAAUUGGAGGGCAAGUCUGGUGCCAGCAGCCGCGGUAAUUCCAGCUCCAAUAGUGUAUUGUAAAGUUGUUGUGAUUAAAACGCUCGUAGUUGAAUGAAAACAAUCGGGACAUGAUUUACGAUCUCUCCUCCAUACGGUGGAUUCGUCCAUUAGGUCGAGUUGAUCAAAAAUCAAACAAUGUCCUACUAUAAGCGAGAGGGUGGAAUUAAUUCCAAACUCUUUUACUUUGAUUAAAUCAAGGUGCUUAAAGCAAAAUCUUCUGUUAACGAAUGAUGAAGCAUGGUAUAGAAUUAAAACAGAACAGAAAGAAUAACGAAUAAAUGGAGAUGGGCAACCAUUCGAAAUUUAUUUAUUUUUGUUUUGUUUAAAACAAGGUUAAGAGAAAUGAUUAGGGUGAUUUAGAUAGGAACGGGAGAGGUGGAAUUCCAUGAUCGUUUCGAGAUAAACGAGAGCGAAAGCAUUUCACUGAAUUCAUUUCAUUAAUCAAGAACGAAAGUCAGGGAAUCAAAGACGAUUAGAUACCGUCGUAGUCCUGACCAUAAACGAUGUCAACUAAGGAUUGGAUAAGAAACAUCGAAGUAUGAGCCUUUUUCUCCAACUUGUUGGAAAAAAAGUGUUUCGCUUCAUUUCUUCCCUUAUUCAGGACUUGAUGAGAAAUCAUUAAGUGAAUGGACUUCAGGGGGAGUAUGGUCACAAGGCUGAAACUUAAAGGAAUUGACGGAAGGGCACACCAGGAGUGGAGCCUGCGGCUUAAUUUGACUCAACACGGGAAAACUUACCAAGACCAAACGGUGUAAGGAAUGACAGAUUACUGGGUCUUUCAUGAUUCAUCGGGGAGU
This 1260-nucleotide ribosomal RNA is filed under the name Entamoeba coli. Its description in RNAcentral is "bacterial SSU rRNA". It matches the Rfam family "Eukaryotic small subunit ribosomal RNA", at positions 163 to 1278 of the family's 1831-position model. The record is from RNAcentral. Lineage: Eukaryota; Evosea; Mastigamoebida; Endamoebidae.